Molecule: ribosomal RNA, 498 nt
Filed under: uncultured bacterium
Lineage: Bacteria
Description: partial 16S ribosomal RNA
Rfam family: Bacterial small subunit ribosomal RNA
Source: RNAcentral
AUUGGACGCUGGCGGCAUGCCUUACACAUGCAAGUCGAACGGUGACAGGUCUUCGGAUGCUGACGAGUGGCGAACGGGUGAGUAAUACAUCGGAACGUGCCUAGUAGUGGGGGAUAACUACUCGAAAGAGUGGCUAAUACCGCAUGAGAUCUACGGAUGAAAGCAGGGGAUCGCAAGACCUUGUGCUACCAGAGCGGCGGAUGGCAGAUUAGGGAGUUGGUGGGAUAAAAGCUUACCGAGCCGACGAUCUGUAGCUGGUCUGAGAGGACGAUCAGCCACACUGGGACUGAGACACGGCCCAGACUCCUACGGGAGGCAGCAGUGGGGAAUUUUGGACAAUGGGCGCAAGCCUGAUCCAGCAAUGCCGCGUGCAGGAUGAAGGCCUUCGGGUUGUAAACUGCUUUUGUACGGAACGAAAAGCCCUGGGUUAAUACCCUGGGGUCAUGACGGUACCGUAAGAAUAAGCACCGGCUAACUACGUGCCAGCAGCCGCCGUAA